AGAGAAGCCCUCUGGACAGCUUCUAGAGUGUGCAGGUUCUCGUAUCCCUCGGCCAAGGGUAUCCUCUGCAAACCUCUGCAAACCCAGCGCAACUACGGUCCCCCGGUCAGACCCAGGAUGGGGCCAGAACGGACAGGGGCCGCGCCGCUGCCGCUGCUGCUGGUGUUAGCGCUCAGUCAAGGCAUUUUAAAUUGUUGUUUGGCCUACAAUGUUGGUCUCCCAGAAGCAAAAAUAUUUUCCGGUCCUUCAAGUGAACAGUUUGGCUAUGCAGUGCAGCAGUUUAUAAAUCCAAAAGGCAACUGGUUACUGGUUGGUUCACCCUGGAGUGGCUUUCCUGAGAACCGAAUGGGAGAUGUGUAUAAAUGUCCUGUUGACCUAUCCACUGCCACAUGUGAAAAACUAAAUUUGCAAACUUCAACAAGCAUUCCAAAUGUUACUGAGAUGAAAACCAACAUGAGCCUCGGCUUGAUCCUCACCAGGAACAUGGGAACUGGAGGUUUUCUCACAUGUGGUCCUCUGUGGGCACAGCAAUGUGGGAAUCAGUAUUACACAACGGGUGUGUGUUCUGACAUCAGUCCUGAUUUUCAGCUCUCAGCCAGCUUCUCACCUGCAACUCAGCCCUGCCCUUCCCUCAUAGAUGUUGUGGUUGUGUGUGAUGAAUCAAAUAGUAUUUAUCCUUGGGAUGCAGUAAAGAAUUUUUUGGAAAAAUUUGUACAAGGCCUGGAUAUAGGCCCCACAAAGACACAGGUGGGGUUAAUUCAGUAUGCCAAUAAUCCAAGAGUUGUGUUUAACUUGAACACAUAUAAAACCAAAGAAGAAAUGAUUGUAGCAACAUCCCAGACAUCCCAAUAUGGUGGGGACCUCACAAACACAUUCGGAGCAAUUCAAUAUGCAAGAAAAUAUGCUUAUUCAGCAGCUUCUGGUGGGCGACGAAGUGCUACGAAAGUAAUGGUAGUUGUAACUGACGGUGAAUCACAUGAUGGUUCAAUGUUGAAAGCUGUGAUUGAUCAAUGCAACCAUGACAAUAUACUGAGGUUUGGCAUAGCAGUUCUUGGGUACUUAAACAGAAACGCCCUUGAUACUAAAAAUUUAAUAAAAGAAAUAAAAGCAAUCGCUAGUAUUCCAACAGAAAGAUACUUUUUCAAUGUGUCUGAUGAAGCAGCUCUACUAGAAAAGGCUGGGACAUUAGGAGAACAAAUUUUCAGCAUUGAAGGUACUGUUCAAGGAGGAGACAACUUUCAGAUGGAAAUGUCACAAGUGGGAUUCAGUGCAGAUUACUCUUCUCAAAAUGAUAUUCUGAUGCUGGGUGCAGUGGGAGCUUUUGGCUGGAGUGGGACCAUUGUCCAGAAGACAUCUCAUGGCCAUUUGAUCUUUCCUAAACAAGCCUUUGACCAAAUUCUGCAGGACAGAAAUCACAGUUCAUAUUUAGGUUACUCUGUGGCUGCAAUUUCUACUGGAGAAAGCACUCACUUUGUUGCUGGUGCUCCUCGGGCAAAUUAUACCGGCCAGAUAGUGCUAUAUAGUGUGAAUGAGAAUGGCAAUAUCACGGUUAUUCAGGCUCACCGAGGUGACCAGAUUGGCUCCUAUUUUGGUAGUGUGCUGUGUUCAGUUGAUGUGGAUAAAGACACCAUUACAGACGUGCUCUUGGUAGGUGCACCAAUGUACAUGAGUGACCUAAAGAAAGAGGAAGGAAGAGUCUACCUGUUUACUAUCAAAGAGGGCAUUUUGGGUCAGCACCAAUUUCUUGAAGGCCCCGAGGGCAUUGAAAACACUCGAUUUGGUUCAGCAAUUGCAGCUCUUUCAGACAUCAACAUGGAUGGCUUUAAUGAUGUGAUUGUUGGUUCACCACUAGAAAAUCAGAAUUCUGGAGCUGUAUACAUUUACAAUGGUCAUCAGGGCACUAUCCGCACAAAGUAUUCCCAGCUGUUGUGUACUAUAAUUUCGUGUCAAACCUGCUCUUUUAGAAAAUCUUGGGAUCCGAUGGAGCCUUUAGGAGCCAUCUCCAGUACUUUGGGAGGUCCUUGGAUGGCUAUGGAGAUUUAAAUGGGGAUUCCAUCACCGAUGUGUCUAUUGGUGCCUUUGGACAAGUGGUUCAACUCUGGUCACAAAGUAUUGCUGAUGUAGCUAUAGAAGCUUCAUUCACACCAGAAAAAAUCACUUUGGUCAACAAGAAUGCUCAGAUAAUUCUCAAACUCUGCUUCAGUGCAAAGUUCAGACCUACUAAGCAAAACAAUCAAGUGGCCAUUGUAUAUAACAUCACACUUGAUGCAGAUGGAUUUUCAUCCAGAGUAACCUCCAGGGGGUUAUUUAAAGAAAACAAUGAAAGGUGCCUGCAGAAGAAUAUGGUAGUAAAUCAAGCACAGAGUUGCCCCGAGCACAUCAUUUAUAUACAGGAGCCCUCUGAUGUUGUCAACUCUUUGGAUUUGCGUGUGGACAUCAGUCUGGAAAACCCUGGCACUAGCCCUGCCCUUGAAGCCUAUUCUGAGACUGCCAAGGUCUUCAGUAUUCCUUUCCACAAAGACUGUGGUGAGGACGGACUUUGCAUUUCUGAUCUAGUCCUAGAUGUCCGACAAAUACCAGCUGCUCAAGAACAACCCUUUAUUGUCAGCAACCAAAACAAAAGGUUAACAUUUUCAGUAACGCUGAAAAAUAAAAGGGAAAGUGCAUACAACACUGGAAUUGUUGUUGAUUUUUCAGAAAACUUGUUUUUUGCAUCAUUCUCCCUGCCGGUUGAUGGGACAGAAGUAACAUGCCAGGUGGCUGCAUCUCAGAAGUCUGUUGCCUGCGAUGUAGGCUACCCUGCUUUAAAGAGAGAACAACAGGUGACUUUUACUAUUAACUUUGACUUCAAUCUUCAAAACCUUCAGAAUCAGGCGUCUCUCAGUUUCCAAGCCUUAAGUGAAAGCCAAGAAGAAAACAAGGCUGAUAAUUUGGUCAACCUCAAAAUUCCUCUCCUGUAUGAUGCUGAAAUUCACUUAACAAGAUCUACCAACAUAAAUUUUUAUGAAAUCUCUUCGGAUGGGAAUGUUCCUUCAAUCGUGCACAGUUUUGAAGAUGUUGGUCCAAAAUUCAUCUUCUCCCUGAAGGUAACAACAGGAAGUGUUCCAGUAAGCAUGGCAACUGUAAUCAUCCACAUCCCUCAGUAUACCAAAGAAAAGAACCCACUGAUGUACCUAACUGGGGUGCAAACAGACAAGGCUGGUGACAUCAGUUGUAAUGCAGAUAUCAAUCCACUGAAAAUAGGACAAACAUCUUCUUCUGUAUCUUUCAAAAGUGAAAAUUUCAGGCACACCAAAGAAUUGAACUGCAGAACUGCUUCCUGUAGUAAUGUUACCUGCUGGUUGAAAGACGUUCACAUGAAAGGAGAAUACUUUGUUAAUGUGACUACCAGAAUUUGGAACGGGACUUUCGCAUCAUCAACGUUCCAGACAGUACAGCUAACGGCAGCUGCAGAAAUCAACACCUAUAACCCUGAGAUAUAUGUGAUUGAAGAUAACACUGUUACGAUUCCCCUGAUGAUAAUGAAACCUGAUGAGAAAGCCGAAGUACCAACAGGAGUUAUAAUAGGAAGUAUAAUUGCUGGAAUCCUUUUGCUGUUAGCUCUGGUUGCAAUUUUAUGGAAGCUCGGCUUCUUCAAAAGAAAAUAUGAAAAGAUGACCAAAAAUCCAGAUGAGAUUGAUGAGACCACAGAGCUCAGUAGCUGAACCAGCAGACCUACCUGCAGUGGGAACCGGCAGCAUCCCAGCCAGGGUUUGCUGUUUGCGUGAAUGGAUUUCUUUUUAAAUCCCAUAUUUUUUUUAUCAUGUCGUAGGUAAACUAACCUGGUAUUUUAAGAGAAAACUGCAGGUCAGUUUGGAAUGAAGAAAUUGUGGGGGGUGGGGGAGGUGCGGGGGGCAGGUAGGGAAAUAAUAGGGAAAAUACCUAUUUUAUAUGAUGGGGGAAAAAAAGUAAUCUUUAAACUGGCUGGCCCAGAGUUUACAUUCUAAUUUGCAUUGUGUCAGAAACAUGAAAUGCUUCCAAGCAUGACAACUUUUAAAGAAAAAUAUGAUACUCUCAGAUUUUAAGGGGGAAAACUGUUCUCUUUAAAAUAUUUGUCUUUAAACAGCAACUACAGAAGUGGAAGUGCUUGAUAUGUAAGUACUUCCACUUGUGUAUAUUUUAAUGAAUAUUGAUGUUAACAAGAGGGGAAAACAAAACACAGGUUUUUUCAAUUUAUGCUGCUCAUCCAAAGUUGCCACAGAUGAUACUUCCAAGUGAUAAUUUUAUUUAUAAACUAGGUAAAAUUUGUUGUUGGUUCCUUUUAGACCACGGCUGCCCCUUCCACACCCCAUCUUGCUCUAAUGAUCAAAACAUGCUUGAAUAACUGAGCUUAGAGUAUACCUCCUAUAUGUCCAUUUAAGUUAGGAGAGGGGGCGAUAUAGAGAAUAAGGCACAAAAUUUUGUUUAAAACUCAGAAUAUAACAUGUAAAAUCCCAUCUGCUAGAAGCCCAUCCUGUGCCAGAGGAAGGAAAAGGAGGAAAUUUCCUUUCUCUUUUAGGAGGCACAACAGUUCUCUUCUAGGAUUUGUUUGGCUGACUGGCAGUAACCUAGUGAAUUUCUGAAAGAUGAGUAAUUUCUUUGGCAACCUUCCUCCUCCCUUACUGAACCACUCUCCCACCUCCUGGUGGUACCAUUAUUAUAGAAGCCCUCUACAGCCUGACUUUCUCUCCAGCGGUCCAAAGUUAUCCCCUCCUUUACCCCUCAUCCAAAGUUCCCACUCCUUCAGGACAGCUGCUGUGCAUUAGAUAUUAGGGGGGAAAGUCAUCUGUUUAAUUUACACACUUGCAUGAAUUACUGUAUAUAAACUCCUUAACUUCAGGGAGCUAUUUUCAUUUAGUGCUAAACAAGUAAGAAAAAUAAGCUCGAGUGAAUUUCUAAAUGUUGGAAUGUUAUGGGAUGUAAACAAUGUAAAGUAAGACAUCUCAGGAUUUCACCAGAAGUUACAGAUGAGGCACUGGAAGCCACCAAAUUAGCAGGUGCACCUUCUGUGGCUGUCUUGUUUCUGAAGUACUUAAACUUCCACAAGAGUGAAUUUGACCUAGGCAAGUUUGUUCAAAAGGUAGAUCCUGAGAUGAUUUGGUCAGAUUGGGAUAAGGCCCAGCAAUCUGCAUUUUAACAAGCACCCCAGUCACUAGGAUGCAGAUGGACCACACUUUGAGAAACACCACCCAUUUCUACUUUUUGCACCUUAUUUUCUCUGUUCCUGAGCCCCCACAUUCUCUAGGAGAAACUUAGAGGAAAAGGGCACAGACACUACAUAUCUAAAGCUUUGGACAAGUCCUUGACCUCUAUAAACUUCAGAGUCCUCAUUAUAAAAUGGGAAGACUGAGCUGGAGUUCAGCAGUGAUGCUUUUAGUUUUAAAAGUCUAUGAUCUGGACUUCCUAUAAUACAAAUACACAAUCCUCCAAGAAUUUGACUUGGAAAAAAAUGUCAAAGGAAAACAGGUUAUCUGCCCAUGUGCAUAUGGACAACCUUGACUACCCUGGCCUGGCCCGUGGUGGCAGUCCAGGGCUAUCUGUACUGUUUACAGAAUUACUUUGUAGUUGACAACACAAAACAAACAAAAAAGGCAUAAAAUGCCAGCGGUUUAUAGAAAAAACAGCAUGGUAUUCUCCAGUUAGGUAUGCCAGAGUCCAAUUCUUUUAACAGCUGUGAGAAUUUGCUGCUUCAUUCCAACAAAAUUUUAUUUAAAAAAAAAAAAAAAAGACUGGAGAAACUAGUCAUUAGCUUGAUAAAGAAUAUUUAACAGCUAGUGGUGCUGGUGUGUACCUGAAGCUCCAGCUACUUGAGAGACUGAGACAGGAAGAUCGCUUGAGCCCAGGAGUUCAAGUCCAGCCUAAGCAACAUAGCAAGACCCUGUCUCAAAAAAAUGACUAUUUAAAAAGACAAUGUGGCCAGGCACGGUGGCUCACACCUGUAAUCCCAACACUUUGGGAGGCUGAGGCCGGUGGAUCACGAGGUCAGGAGUUUGAGACUAGCCUGGCCAACAUGGUGAAACCCCAUCUCUAAUAAUAUAAAAAUUAGCUGGGCGUAGUAGCAGGUGCCUGUAAUCCCAGUUACUCGGGAAGCUGAGGCAGGAGAAUCACUUGAACCCGGGAGGCAGAGGUUUCAGUGAGCCGAGAUCGCGCCACUGCACUCCAGCCUGGGUGACAGGGCAAGACUCUGUCUCAAACAAACAAACAAAAAAAAAGUUAGUACUGUAUAUGUAAAUACUAGCUUUUCAAUGUGCUAUACAAACAAUUAUAGCACAUCCUUCCUUUUACUCUGUCUCACCUCCUUUAGGUGAGUACUUCCUUAAAUAAGUGCUAAACAUACAUAUACGGAACUUGAAAGCUUUGGUUAGCCUUGCCUUAGGUAAUCAGCCUAGUUUACACUGUUUCCAGGGAGUAGUUGAAUUACUAUAAACCAUUAGCCACUUGUCUCUGCACCAUUUAUCACACCAGGACAGGGUCUCUCAACCUGGGCGCUACUGUCAUUUGGGGCCAGGUGAUUCUUCCUUGCAGGGGCUGUCCUGUACCUUGUAGGACAGCAGCCCUGUCCUAGAAGGUAUGUUUAGCAGCAUUCCUGGCCUCUAGCUACCCGAUGCCAGAGCAUGCUCCCCCCGCAGUCAUGACAAUCAAAAAAUGUCUCCAGACAUUGUCAAAUGCCUCCUGGGGGGCAGUAUUUCUCAAGCACUUUUAAGCAAAGGUAAGUAUUCAUACAAGAAAUUUAGGGGGAAAAAACAUUGUUUAAAUAAAAGCUAUGUGUUCCUAUUCAACAAUAUUUUUGCUUUAAAAGUAAGUAGAGGGCAUAAAAGAUGUCAUAUUCAAAUUUCCAUUUCAUAAAUGGUGUACAGACAAGGUCUAUAGAAUGUGGUAAAAACUUGACUGCAACACAAGGCUUAUAAAAUAGUAAGAUAGUAAAAUAGCUUAUGAAGAAACUACAGAGAUUUAAAAUUGUGCAUGACUCAUUUCAGCAGCAAAAUAAGAACUCCUAACUGAACAGAAAUUUUUCUACCUAGCAAUGUUAUUCUUGUAAAAUAGUUACCUAUUAAAACUGUGAAGAGUAAAACUAAAGCCAAUUUAUUAUAGUCACACAAGUGAUUAUACUAAAAAUUAUUAUAAAGGUUAUAAUUUUAUAAUGUAUUUACCUGUCCUGAUAUAUAGCUAUAACCCAAUAUAUGAAAAUCUCAAAAAUUAAGACAUCAUCAUACAGAAGGCAGGAUUCCUUAAACUGAGAUCCCUGAUCCAUCUUUAAUAUUUCAAUUUGCACACAUAAAACAAUGCCCUUUUGUGUACAUUCAGGCAUACCCAUUUUAAUCAAUUUGAAAGGUUAAUUUAAACCUCUAGAGGUGAAUGAGAAACAUGGGGGAAAAGUAUGAAAUAGGUGAAAAUCUUAACUAUUUCUUUGAACUCUAAAGACUGAAACUGUAGCCAUUAUGUAAAUAAAGUUUCAUAUGUACCUGUUUAUUUUGGCAGAUUAAGUCAAAAUAUGAAUGUAUAUAUUGCAUAACUAUGUUAGAAUUGUAUAUAUUUUAAAGAAAUUGUCUUGGAUAUUUUCCUUUAUACAUAAUAGAUAAGUCUUUUUUCAAAUGUGGUGUUUGAUGUUUUUGAUUAAAUGUGUUUUGCCUCUUUCCACAAAAACUGUAAAAAUAAAUGCAUGUUUGUACAAAAAGUUGCAGAAUUCAUUUGAUUUAUGAGAAACAAAAAUUAAAUUGUAGUCAACAGUUAGUAGUUUUUCUCAUAUCCAAGUAUAACAAACAGAAAAGUUUCAUUAUUGUAACCCACUUUUUUCAUACCACAUUAUUGAAUAUUGUUACAAUUGUUUUGAAAAUAAAGCCAUUUUCUUUGGGCUUUUAUAAGUUA
Molecule: RNA transcript, 7884 nt
Organism: Homo sapiens (human)
Lineage: Eukaryota; Metazoa; Chordata; Mammalia; Primates; Hominidae
Gene: ITGA2
Gene name: integrin subunit alpha 2
Exons: 30
Source: RefSeq, marked reviewed